UCCAGACUCCUACGGGAGGCAGCAGUGGGGAAUAUUGCACAAUGGGGGAAACCCUGAUGCAGCGACGCCGCGUGAGUGAAGAAGUAUUUCGGUAUGUAAAGCUCUCUCAGCAGGGAAGAAAUAGCGACCUUUGGGUCGCCAGACGGUACCUGAUUAAGAAGCCCCGGCAAACUACGUGCCAGCAGCCGCGGUAAUACGUAGGGGGCGAGCGUUGUCCGGAAUGACUGGGCGUAAAGGGAGUGUAGGCGGCAUAUUAAGUUAUGUGUGAAAGCCCGCGGCUCAACCGCGGAAUUGCACAUAAAACUGGUAAGCUGGAGUGCAGGAGAGGUAAGUGGAAUUCCCGGUGUAGCGGUGGAAUGCGUAGAUAUCGGGAGGAACACCAGAGGCGAAGGCGACUUACUGGACUGUAACUGACGCUGAGGCUCGAAAGCGUGGGGAGCAAACAGGAUUAGAUACCCUAGUAA
This 464-nucleotide ribosomal RNA is filed under the name uncultured bacterium. Its description in RNAcentral is "bacterial SSU rRNA". It matches the Rfam family "Bacterial small subunit ribosomal RNA", at positions 330 to 793 of the family's 1533-position model. The record is from RNAcentral.